GUGAACAAUGUUGGUCAGGCAAUAUCCAGGGCCAUAUACUAUCUGGAUGCUGAUCACACUGACAAGUAUAUAAAGGACAUGGUGCACUGCAACAUGCUUUCGAACAUAAAGAUGACACAGAUCGUCCUUCCUCAGAUGGUGGCCAGGAAGAAAGGAAUUAUCAUAAACAUGUCAUCGAUGAGUGGCCGGCGUCCAAUGGCAAAACUAUUGAUGUAUUCCUCAA
Gekko japonicus is the source of this 223-nucleotide long non-coding RNA. RefSeq lists it as uncharacterized. The transcript is spliced from 4 exons. Lineage: Eukaryota; Metazoa; Chordata; Lepidosauria; Squamata; Gekkonidae. The record is from RefSeq and is a predicted model, not a curated record.